RNAcentral lists this ribosomal RNA (393 nucleotides) under uncultured bacterium. RNAcentral describes it as "partial 16S ribosomal RNA". It matches the Rfam family "Bacterial small subunit ribosomal RNA", at positions 523 to 918 of the family's 1533-position model. The record is from RNAcentral.
AUACGGAGGAUCCGAGCGUUAUCCGGAUUUAUUGGGUUUAAAGGGUGCGCAGGCGGGAGAUUAAGUCGGCGGUGAAAUUUUGGAGCUCAACUUUAAAACUGACUUCCAAACUGGGUUUCUUGUGUGCAGGUGAAGUAAGCGGAAUUUUGGGGGUAGGGGUGAAAUGCAUAGAUAUCACGAGGAACUCCGAUUGCGCAGGCAGCUUACUAAACUACUACUGACGCUCAGGCACGAAGGCGUGGGGAUCAAACAGGAUUAGAUACCCUGGUAGUCCACGCAGUAAACGAUGAUUACUAGCUGUUUGCGAUACAAUGUAAGCGGCUGAGCGAAAGCGUUAAGUAAUCCACCUGGGGAGUACGUUCGCAAGAAUGAAACUCAAAGGAAUUGACGGGG